RNAcentral lists this long non-coding RNA (678 nucleotides) under Triticum aestivum (bread wheat). Its description in RNAcentral is "long non-coding RNA (TAES_LNC022490)". Lineage: Eukaryota; Viridiplantae; Streptophyta; Magnoliopsida; Poales; Poaceae. The record is from RNAcentral.
AAAACAAUAAAUUUUGGCGUCAAACUGAAGACUAAUUAAGCAAAUUAACGUUGCAAACCGAGCGAUAAAACCAGUUUGAUUAUCGAAUAACUAAAUUAUUUUAGGCAAUACAUAAUUGCGCCAUGCAUGCAUGCAUGCAUUGCAUGAACGGUGGGGUCGAUCCCUUGUUCAAGGAGGAAGCUAUAGGAUAGAGAUCGAACACGCAGACUAACAUCAUUACAUGGACGCAGAUAUGAAGGCCACUAGUUGUGCUUCUCCUGGGUGUAGAUGUAGUCGGUGUGCGCCGCGAGCGUCCUCCUCGCCAUGCACUCAUCCCGCUGCUUCUCGCCGGCCCUCAUCUCGCACUCGUGGUCUUCCGCCGCCGCCGCCGCGACCUUCUGCAAGAAAGAAGAAACACACAACGGGGUCGGUUUGAAAAGAUCAGAAAUCGAUGGAGAUCGGCCGAGAGUCCUUGAAAACCUUUCACAUCGAUCCUGCGCGCGCGUGCGUACCUCGUUGGGAGAUGCCGUUGCCACGUCCUUGGGCGAGGUCCGGGCGGCCGUGGCGCCCGCGGGGCCGGAGGCGAGGAGGAGGAGGACGGCGAGCGCGGCCACGAGCACCAGUGUCGUUGCCCUCGCCAUGGAGGUCCGGUGACGGCUACUCUUGUUUUGGAACGGAUUGAUGAAUCGUGCAGUUUUU